GCUGACUCAGUGUCACAUCACGCUGACCAGCAUUUUGCACAAUGAACAGCCUCUCAGCUACAGGACAGGAGGAAAAACUUACUGCAUUUCCAGCCUACAUCCAGAAGAACUGAAGUGGAAAAAGACUUAGUGUCCGUACGGUUUCCCAAAACAGGGAAGGGGAUAUGAAGCAGUUUUUUUCUACUGCCCCCUUUUUACCACUCUUUUGGUGGAGAUGUGUGAGUUCGUAAGGGAUUCCUCAAGUAAACAAGUCAGAUGAUCACUCAAAGCGUGGAGGAUUUCUGCUUGAGUACAACAGGCAAUGGUUUCAAAAAGACUUUUCUACUGCCAGCCAGAGGACUGAAUAGACCCUUACUAUGAUCUCAGGGGCUGCAGAGAAGAACAGGGAGGUGGGAAGUGCAGCUUCUGGAAUGGGAAGCAAAGUAUCGUCAACAGGUUUCAGCUAACGUUGCUCAACUAUCGUUAUCACCUUCCAUACUGCGACCUGCACAGCUAUUUCCCUCCACUGAAUAUACAAAAAACGAUAGUUUCUUGCAGCCAGGUUUUGGACCUUGAAUUCAAGAGGGAACAUACUGCAAAAUCUGCCCACGGGUUUCCAGGAAAGAUGUUAGGCAGAAAGGCCUUAUGUUGACCACACUGUAAACUGAACUGAUGUGCAUGUUUGUACUUCGGUCACCCGGAAGAUUGAUAGGGAUCCAGAGAAGAAUUUAAGUACUGCAAUACCUAACUUCUGAGAGCUCUGCAGGCAAACUAUAUUUUGUCCUUUUUCAAUACAUGGGGAAAGCGAGGUGUCACAGAAACUUGUAAACUGAACAGGGAUUCACAUGAAAUAGUCAAGCUCUUUGAAAAUACUGAGGAUUGAGAAGGGUAGGACCUCAAACCCUUCCUCAAGAAGACGUAAUUAUUUCUCUGACACAAGAAUUCUCUUAUAUAAGAGCCCUAGACACCUCUUUUACACACUGCUACCCAAAACCUGAAAAAUAAAAACUGAACAACGAGAAAGCUGACAGGAAAGUCCCAGCCACUCUCAAUAUAGUAAUAGAGUACUCCUCUCAAAGGAGGCCGGGGUUAAAGGUGAGAAUUCAGUUCUCAGACUCUCUGUCCUAGGAGACUACUAAGAUACGGGAUAAAAGCAUUUUGUGUGAUGCUUUUCAAAUAUAUAAGAGAGUUGACCAUACUGGAAGUCCCUGGUGAGACCAGCCAUUUAACAGCCUUACCAGGGCAUAGGCACAAAGCAGUGUGGUAGUAUCAGGACCUUUAUUACAGAGAUCACUGGGUAGGGAAUAAAGGGGCUUGGGUGGCCUAUAGAUGUAGGUGGCAGUCCAGCAAGGCUUCUGAGCAAAAUAGUGAAGCCUCGAUGUUGGUGCUCAGUGUGCAAGUCCCGUUGUAGACGUAGCCUGCUAUGACAGUAACACAGUCACAGUAUUUCCAGCACCAAAAUAUGUUUAUGGCAGAUCACUAGCAGACAGUCUAAAUUUGUUGUGAAUCCUUCAGCACUGCAGGCUACAUUUUUUUUCUUUAAGUUUCCAGAUUCCACAAGCCUCCAGUGUAAGCUGUUGUCCUGUCAUUAUUGUUACACAUCAGGGUAUGGACAGACACAGUUUAAGACUUCUUGUUUACUAAAAAGAUGAAAAGGUGCUUGUCAUAACUCUAAGUAGCUGACUGUGAUCCAAGCAGCAUUGACAAUAACAAUUUCUUAUUCUCUUCCUUUUUUAUCUGCAUUUAAGCAGACCGAAGAAGAAAUUUAAAGAGGGUACAAGACUCUCAGAAGUCCAUGUAGCUUGUUGAAAGACCAUGAAGGAAUAUGUAAAAAUAUUUAGGAAAUGACUAAUACCUUCUGGCACAAAUCUUUCCCUUUGGUAAAAUCCAUUUCUCUUUCCUAUUGGAUUCCAUGAGCUGUCAGGAACAUGAAUUAAAAAGAUAUAAAUAUUUUAGAAUAAAAGGCAUAUUCUUAGUAAGGCUUAUGCUGCUCUUAGAUCCAUCUGCCUUCUCAAAGAGAUUUAGUUUCUUUUUUCACCUGAAAAAUGUCAGAAUGAACAACAACAAAAAGUGAUAACAAGAAAGAAACAAAUACACGACAAAAUAUGAGCAAGAAAGAAUUGCAAUACCUUUGCAGAGACAAGUAUUUCAAUUAAGUUUUGAAGCAUUUUGGCAUCCCUGUAAAACUCUGCAAUUUGUGAAAUAGAGAAUUAUCAUUGCUUUAAGGUACAACAUCAUUUUUAAAUGCCUAAAGAGAAAAACAAUGUGGAAAUUCCAUUAAGGAAUAAAAUUUUUCAAAUGUUCAAUCUGGACAAAUUGACUCAUCUCAUUCCUUUGUUGAUCAUGCUUUAUAUGGAGGAAAUGUCAGUGCUGAAGGUGUCAAAGAACCUACAUUUAUGCAGAUAUUGUAUCUAUUACUACACAAAUAUUCAGACAUUUAAAUGGCAAAGAACUAUAGGAAUCAAUUUACCAAAUUUGUGUGUCAUACAAUAGUGCUAUUGAGCUCAGAAACUUCCAGGUGCAAAUAGUGUCAGAAUUUCAUUCCAAAAUUUUGUUUCUGGAUGUCACCACCAGGGAAUUUUUAAUUCUUGGGGGACCCUUCCAGCAGUUAGACAGAGCUACUAGACAGGUCAAGAAGAAGCUGCAAGUGGGACUUUUCUGUAGCUUUGGUAUUACUGAAAAUGGGACAUAACUGCCAAAACUAUUGCUUGUGUUGUAGAACAAAUUCUCUCCUGAUGUAGAAUGACACUAUUCUAUUGACUCCAAUGACGUUACACCCAAUUUAUACCAGGAGAAUAUGUAGCUCUUUAUCCAUUUAUCUAUAAGCCGGUUGUUGUGACUUAAUUUCAAAUGAAUUAUGUUACUGUUCUUGGUCUGUGCCCUUGAAGCACUUUAUUACUUAGAAGGCUAGUUCAGCAGAAAUAAAUAAAUAUGUGAUUUGCAGUCUCAGCAAAUGUCCUAGCCAGGAACAAUGGCCUCUCUGCAGUGUUCCAGACUAAUUGCCCCCAAUUUUCUGCUCUAACCUUCAUACCCAAUUCAUUCCCUUCUUGCACUGUUCUCCUUACUCUUUUUCCACCCAGUCCUCAUGUUCAUAUUUUCUCCAGUGUCAGCAAGUCUUUAACCACCAGCUCUUAGGUAUUUAAAUUCCUUUAGAGAAUAACUUCCUCUACAGUGAUCACAAGAAAUGUGUAUUACAUUUAAGAAAGUACAUUAUUUAAGAAAAGAUUAUAUUUAAAAUCUUUCCUUCUUAAGAUUUCACCCAGAAUUUUUGUGUUUGAUAGUAUACCCCAGCAUUCACGGUAACAAAUACUGUCAUUAUAAUUGUGUCCUGUGCUUACUAGGACAUCAUCAUCCAAUGUUUUUCUAAUUUCACAGUCAAAACCUGCCAUCAAAUAUUAUAAGCAGUUUAACUGACAUUCAUACAAGUAGGAAGAUUUUUAAGCUUAUUUUAAGGCUGAUUGGCAGCAACUUUCUGUUCGAAAUCUGAAUGCAGUAGCAAUAAGCAUUAAGCAAUAAGCAUUAAUAAAAUCGUGCUUGCGGUCAUUGCUUAGACACUAAGGACCUUUUGAUGAUUAGAGAACGUGUCUGAAAAUUGUUCUGGCCACCUACUUAACAGCCUGUGACUUUGGAAGGCAUUAAUCCAGAACAUUGGCUUCAUUUUCUCAUUAAGUCUUCUCCAUUAUAGGAGGUUGUUUGUGAGGCCUGUUGGAAUCAGUGGUGCACAGGAAGGAUGAAAUUAAAGAAACUGGUCUGAGUGAAAUAAGUAGUUCCUAGCUACUUGCUUUGGGGGACACCUGCUGAAUUUAACAGAAUUGGUUUCCACAGUCCAGCUGCAUUUCUGCUGAGUAGCUCAGCCAGGUGUGGAGCCUGAUUCCAUGACCUUUGUGUGCUUAUCCACUAUAAAAACCAUGGAUCAUUCUGUUGAAUACAGUAUGUAGGUAAAAAGUAAAAGAAAGGUUCAUGAAAACCAUCAUAUCUGUAAAAUGGAAAUGUUAUAUUGUUGAAUUAUUUCAUUAAGUCUGGUGUAAGAAAAAAGCACAUUUUAUAUACAAGUGCAUGCUUUCAGUUAGGUAAAUAUUCCUCACUGAACUUGUCUCUACCUGUGCUAUGUUGAAAGUUAAAUACUAAGCUAUCUAAUGUUGAUAUGUUUUCCAAGUAUAUCCUUUACCCUUCUUUCCCAUCAGGGUUCUCCAUUUUACUCUAUUCAGCUCCUGCUCCAGUCUGGAUUGGGGGAAUGCUAUGCUCAGUUCUUACCUUUUGGAUCAUCUCUGUCUUUCUUAUUCCACUAUUAAAAUAACUGUACUGCA
Calidris pugnax (ruff) is the source of this 4286-nucleotide long non-coding RNA. RefSeq lists it as uncharacterized. NCBI's taxonomy places the organism in Eukaryota, Metazoa, Chordata, Aves, Charadriiformes, Scolopacidae. The transcript has 3 exons. The record is from RefSeq and is a predicted model, not a curated record.